CACUAUCGUUAACUGAAUACAUAGGUUAACGAGGCGAACCGGGGGAACUGAAACAUCUAAGUACCCCGAGGAAAAGAAAUCAACCGAGAUUCCCCCAGUAGCGGCGAGCGAACGGGGAGCAGCCCAGAGUCUGAAUCAGCUUGUGUGUUAGUGGAACGGUCUGGAAAGUCCGACGGUACAGGGUGAUAGUCCCGUACACCAAAAUGCACAGGCUGUGAACUCGAAGAGUAGGGCGGGACACGUGGUAUCCUGUCUGAAUAUGGGGGGACCAUCCUCCAAGGCUAAAUACUCCUGACUGACCGAUAGUGAACCAGUACCGUGAGGGAAAGGCGAAAAGAACCCCGGCGAGGGGAGUGAAAAAGAACCUGAAACCGUGUACGUACAAGCAGUGGGAGCACCUUCGGGUGUGACUGCGUACCUUUUGUAUAAUGGGUCAGCGACUUAUAUUCUGUAGCAAGGUUAACCGUAUAGGGGAGCCGCAGGGAAACCGAGUCUUAACUGGGCGUUAAGUUGCAGGGUAUAGACCCGAAACCCGGUGAUCUAGCCAUGGGCAGGUUGAAGGUUGGGUAACACUAACUGGAGGACCGAACCGACUAAUGUUGAAAAAUUAGCGGAUGACUUGUGGCUGGGGGUGAAAGGCCAAUCAAACCGGGAGAUAGCUGGUUCUCCCCGAAAGCUAUUUAGGUAGCGCCUCGUGAAUUCAUCUUCGGGGGUAGAGCACUGUUUCGGCUAGGGGGUCAUCCCGACUUACCAACCCGAUGCAAACUACGAAUACCGAAGAAUGUUAUCACGGGAGACACACGGCGGGUGCUAACGUCCGUCGUGAAGAGGGAAACAACCCAGACCGCCAGCUAAGGUCCCAAAGUCAUGGUUAAGUGGGAAACGAUGUGGGAAGGCACAGACAGCCAGGAUGUUGGCUUAGAAGCAGCCAUCAUUUAAAGAAAGCGUAAUAGCUCACUGGUCGAGUCGGCCUGCGCGGAAGAUGUAACGGGGCUAAACCAUGCACCGAAGCUGCGGCAGCGACACUAUGUGUUGUUGGGUAGGGGAGCGUUCUGUAAGCCUGCGAAGGUGUGCUGUGAGGCAUGCUGGAGGUAUCAGAAGUGCGAAUGCUGACAUAAGUAACGAUAAAGCGGGUGAAAAGCCCGCUCGCCGGAAGACCAAGGGUUCCUGUCCAACGUUAAUCGGGGCAGGGUGAGUCGACCCCUAAGGCGAGGCCGAAAGGCGUAGUCGAUGGGAAACAGGUUAAUAUUCCUGUACUUGGUGUUACUGCGAAGGGGGGACGGAGAAGGCUAUGUUAGCCGGGCGACGGUUGUCCCGGUUUAAGCAUGUAGGCUGAUUGUCCAGGCAAAUCCGGAUAAUCAAGGCUGAGGUGUGAUGACGAGGCACUACGGUGCUGAAGUAACAAAUGCCCUGCUUCCAGGAAAAGCCUCUAAGCAUCAGGUAACAUCAAAUCGUACCCCAAACCGACACAGGUGGUCAGGUAGAGAAUACCAAGGCGCUUGAGAGAACUCGGGUGAAGGAACUAGGCAAAAUGGUGCCGUAACUUCGGGAGAAGGCACGCUGGUGUGUAGGUGAAGUCCCUGCGGAUGGAGCUGAGACCAGUCGAAGAUACCAGCUGGCUGCAACUGUUUAUUAAAAACACAGCACUGUGCAAACACGAAAGUGGACGUAUACGGUGUGACGCCUGCCCGGUGCCGGAAGGUUAAUUGAUGGGGUUAUCCGUAAGGAGAAGCUCUUGAUCGAAGCCCCGGUAAACGGCGGCCGUAACUAUAACGGUCCUAAGGUAGCGAAAUUCCUUGUCGGGUAAGUUCCGACCUGCACGAAUGGCGUAAUGAUGGCCAGGCUGUCUCCACCCGAGACUCAGUGAAAUUGAACUCGCUGUGAAGAUGCAGUGUACCCGCGGCAAGACGGAAAGACCCCGUGAACCUUUACUAUAGCUUGACACUGAACAUUGAGCCUUGAUGUGUAGGAUAGGUGGGAGGCUUUGAAGCGUGGACGCCAGUCUGCGUGGAGCCAACCUUGAAAUACCACCCUUUAAUGUUUGAUGUUCUAACGUUGGCCCCUGACCGGGGUUGCGGACAGUGUCUGGUGGGUAGUUUGACUGGGGCGGUCUCCUCCCAAAGCGUAACGGAGGAGCACGAAGGUUAGCUAAUCCUGGUCGGACAUCAGGAGGUUAGUGCAAUGGCAUAAGCUAGCUUGACUGCGAGCGUGACGGCGCGAGCAGGUGCGAAAGCAGGUCAUAGUGAUCCGGUGGUUCUGAAUGGAAGGGCCAUCGCUCAACGGAUAAAAGGUACUCCGGGGAUAACAGGCUGAUACCGCCCAAGAGUUCAUAUCGACGGCGGUGUUUGGCACCUCGAUGUCGGCUCAUCACAUCCUGGGGCUGAAGUAGGUCCCAAGGGUAUGGCUGUUCGCCAUUUAAAGUGGUACGCGAGCUGGGUUUAGAACGUCGUGAGACAGUUCGGUCCCUAUCUGCCGUGGGCGCUGGAGAAUUGAGGGGGGCUGCUCCUAGUACGAGAGGACCGGAGUGGACGCAUCACUGGUGUUCGGGUUGUCAUGCCAAUGGCACUGCCCGGUAGCUAAAUGCGGAAGAGAUAAGUGCUGAAAGCAUCUAAGCACGAAACUUGCCCCGAGAUGAGUUCUCCCUGAGACUUUAAGUCUCCUGAAGGAACGUUAAAGACGAUGACGUUGAUAGGCCGGGUGUGUAAGCGCAGCGAUGCGUUGAGCUAACCGGUACUAAUGAACCGUGAGGCUUAACCUU
This 2758-nucleotide ribosomal RNA is filed under the name Klebsiella pneumoniae. RNAcentral's name for it is "bacterial LSU rRNA". It matches the Rfam family "Bacterial large subunit ribosomal RNA". Lineage: Bacteria; Pseudomonadati; Pseudomonadota; Gammaproteobacteria; Enterobacterales; Enterobacteriaceae. The record is from RNAcentral.